Molecule: long non-coding RNA, 2989 nt
Filed under: Triticum aestivum (bread wheat)
Lineage: Eukaryota; Viridiplantae; Streptophyta; Magnoliopsida; Poales; Poaceae
Description: long non-coding RNA (TAES_LNC003144)
Source: RNAcentral
CUCCGUCGAGCUCGUCAUCUGCAUCGAUGUGAGCUCUGCCACUUCCCCGUUUAUUCCCGAGCUCGGAUUCGAGCUUGAGCACCCUCACUGCCACUUCAUAGCUGUCGUCAUCGUCGUGACUGAAACCGCCGUAGCACCGCCGUCUCGCUCGCCCGUGGAUGCGCUGGAGUUUCAGCCGCGCCCACGCACACGUUCUCCCUCCUGCUACUGCCCGUUGUCGCUCCCCUGUCAUGCGUCGCCGCUCCUAGUGCACACGCCCGCCUUCUGCCCCCACGCUCGGGCUUUCCCUCCCGCUGCUCGCCCCAGGCCUCUGCCGCGGCGUUUCCCCUGGCCGCCCGCACGGCUCCCCUCCGCCCCGCCGCGCCUGCUCCGGUCGGCCAUGCCCGCCGAGCCGCACCGGCUCUGCCCAACGCGCCUCACCGACGCGCACUACCACCGACUCAGACCAGCCGCUGUCGUGCUAAGUGGCUGCGACUAUUGCUUGUUGCCUCACGCGAGGCCAUGGCGAGCACAACCUGAUAGCCUGGCUGUGUCUCUGCCAUGUAGGGCCAGCCCUACUUACAUUAGUGCUAAUUUUAGUUAGUAUUAAUUUAAUUCUAAAUUAGUUUAAUAGAAAGUGAUAGAUGAGCCCCUCAGUUAUCUAAACUGUUUAAUUAGAACUCUACUAGAAACUAACUCACAGCCAUGACCCACAUUUCCUAUUCACCUUUUGACCGUCAAAUGUUGACUGGGUCAACUCUGCUGAUUGGACCCCCCUGGCCCCAUUGUCAUACAACUUAGAGUAGGGCUAGGUGACAAGAGUAAUUACUCUUUUUUUUAAUUCGAAUUAAUAUAAUCCAGUAAUUUUAGAAAUUCAAAUAAACUUUGAAAAUCAUAUAAAAUAAUCCGUAACUCGGAUGAAAAUACUUUGUACAUGAAAGUUGCUCAGAACGACGAGAUGAAACAAAAUACGCGGUCUGUUUGUUAGCCACACGUCCCUAGCAUAGUAAACACGCAACUUUCCCUCUCCGGUUCACCUGUCCGAAAACACGAGACACCGGGGAUACUUUCCCGGAUGUUUCCCCCCCUUUGCCGGUACCACCUACUAACGCGUUAGGGCACACCUAGCACCGCUCAUUGUCAUGGCAUGCAUCAUCAUGCUUAUGUUUGCAUUGUAUUUAUUGUUUCGUCCCCCUCUUCUCUCCGGUAGACUACGAGACCCAUGCUGCUGCUGCCCCGUUCGACUAUGGAGUUCACGACCCCUCCUUAUUGCCCGAGCAACCAGGCAAGCCCCCCCUUGAUCAGCAGAUAUCGCCUAUUCUUCUCUCUACUGCUUGCAUUAGAGUAGUGUAGCAUGUUACUGUUCGGUUAAUCCUAUUCUGUUGCAUAGCCUGUCAUUGUUGCUACAGCUGUUGAUACCUUACCCGCAAUACUAAAUGCUUAGUAUAGGAUGCUAGUUUAUCAUCAGUGGCCCUACAUUCUUUUCCGUCUGCCUUGCUAUACUAUCGGGCCGUGAUCACUCGGGAGGUGAUCGGGUAUAUACUAUACAUAUAUACAUACUAUACAAAUGGUGACUAAUGUCGGGUCGGCUUGUUGAGUACACACAAGUGAUUCUGAUGUGGGGGCUGGAAGGACAGUUAGCUCCAUCCCGGUAGAGGUGGGCCUGGGUUCCCGACGGCCCCCGACUGUUACUUUGUGGUGGAGCGACAGGGAAGGUUGAGACCACUAGGCAAGAGGUGGGCCUGGCCCUGGUCGGGGUCCGCGGUUACUUCAAUAUAACACGCUUAACGAGAUCUUGGUAUUUGAUCUGAGUCUGGCCACUGGCUAUACGCCCUAACCAACUACGCGGGAACAGUUAUGGGCACUCGACGUCGUUGUAUCAGCCGAAGCCUUCUUGACGUCAGUGACUAAGCAGCGCGCGCCGGUUUGUACUGGAACACGUGCUCUUGUAUUAGGGAGGCUAGGUCUGCUUCCGGCCGCCCUCGCAACAUGCAGGUGUGCAACGGGCGAUGGGCCCAGACCCCUGCGCGCAUAGGAUUUAGACCGGCGUGCUGACCUCUCUGUUGUGCCUAGGUAGGUCUGUGACGUGUUGAUCUUCCGAGGCCGGGCAUGACCCAGGAAAGUGUAUCCGGACAGAGGGAUCGAGCGUGUUGGGUUAUGUGCUGCACCCCUACAGGGAAGUUUAUCUAUUCGAAUAUCCGUGUCCCUCGGUAAAAGGACGACCCGGAGUUGUACCUUGUCCUUAUGACAACUAGAACCGGAUACUUAAUAAAACACACCCAGACAAGUUCCAGAGAUAACCCAGUGAUCGCUUUUCCACAGGGCGAUGAGGGGAGGAUCGCCGGGUAGGAUUAUGCUAUGCGAUGCUACUGGAGGACUUCAAUCUACUCUCUUCUACAUGCUGCAAGACGGAGGCUGCCAGAAGCGUAGUCUUCGAUAGGACUAGCUAUCCCCCUCUUAUUCUGGCAUUUAGCAGUUCAGUCCACCGAUAUUGCCUCUUUACACAUAUACCCAUGCAUAUAUAGUAUAGAUCCUUGCUUGCGAGUACUUUGGAUGAGUACUCACUGUUGCUUUGCUCCAUCUUUUCCCCCUUUUUUCCUCUUCUUCCCAGAUGCCGCAACCUGAUGUUGGAGUCCAGGAGCCAUAGGAUCCCGAGGAUGGUUCUACAAGGAGUUUGGCUUCGUGGUGUAGUUAGGAGGUCCCAGGCAGGAGGCCUGCGCCUCUUUCGAUCUUUAUCCUAGAUUGUGCUAGCCAUCUUAUGGCAAUUUGUUUAACUUGUGUCUGUACUCAGAUAUUAUUGCUUCCGCUGAUUCGUUUAUGUUCGAGCACUUGUAUUCGAGCCCUCGAUGCCCCUGGCUUGUAAUAUGAUGCUUGUAUGACUUUUUUUUUACUUUUAGAGUUGUGUUUUGAUAUCUUCCCGUGAGUCCCUGAUCUUGAUCGUACACAUUUGCGUGCAUGAUUAGUGUACGAUUGAAUCAGGUGCGUCACAAUAUAUUUGCUAACUUUUCCU